Molecule: ribosomal RNA, 253 nt
Filed under: uncultured bacterium
Lineage: Bacteria
Description: partial 16S ribosomal RNA
Rfam family: Bacterial small subunit ribosomal RNA
Source: RNAcentral
UACGUAGGUGGCAAGCGUUAUCCGGAAUCACUGGGCGUAAAGCGUUCGUAGGCGUUCUUGUAGGUCUCUGAUCAAAUUCACGAGCUCAACUCGUGUCCGGUUGGAGAAACCCCAAGAAUAGAAGGGUAUCGAGGUAAGUGGAAUUUGUGGUGUAGCAGUGAAAUGCGUUAAUAUCACAAGGAACACCAAUGGCGAAGGCAGCUUACUAGGUACAUCUUGACGCUGAGGAACGAAAGCGUGGGGAGCAAACGGG